CCUACGGGAGGCAGCAGUGAGGAAUAUUGGUCAAUGGUCGGGAGACUGAACCAGCCAAGCCGCGUGAGGGAGGAAGGUACAGAGUAUCGUAAACCUCUUUUGUCAGGGAACAAAGGCGGGGACGUGUCCCCGGAUGAGUGUACCUGAAGAAAAAGCAUCGGCUAACUCCGUGCCAGCAGCCGCGGUAAUACGGAGGAGGCGAGCGUUAUCCGGAUUUAUUGGGUUUAAAGGGUGCGCAGGCGGUCUGUUAAGUCAGCGGUCAAAGCCCGGGGCUCAACCCCGGCCCGCUAUUGAAACUGGCAGGCUCGAGUUGGAGAGAAGUAUGCGGAAUGCGCGGUGUAGCGGUGAAAUGCAUAGAUAUCGCGCAGAACUCCGAUUGCGAAGGCAGCAUGCCGGCUCCACACUGACGCUGAGGCACGAAAGCGUGGGUAUCGAACAGGAUUAGAUACCCUAGUAGUC
RNAcentral lists this ribosomal RNA (459 nucleotides) under uncultured bacterium. RNAcentral describes it as "partial 16S ribosomal RNA". It matches the Rfam family "Bacterial small subunit ribosomal RNA", at positions 338 to 795 of the family's 1533-position model. The record is from RNAcentral.